Molecule: long non-coding RNA, 1245 nt
Organism: Brachypodium distachyon (stiff brome)
Lineage: Eukaryota; Viridiplantae; Streptophyta; Magnoliopsida; Poales; Poaceae
Exons: 2
Source: RefSeq, a predicted model, not a curated record
GAGGCCAAGCCGCCGCCGCCGCCGCCUUCGGGCUUUGGCGCUCGUCCCGCCACUACACCGCCUACUACCGCCUACUCGAGCUCGUUGCCACUCUAACCGCUUCGUCUUGCUCGUCGCCGACUCCCACCAACGCGAGGCCGUCGGGCCCCUCAAUCCGCGCAUCCUCCUCGCCAUGUUUGGGACCGCACCGUCGCCGCCUCCUCUGCCCUCCUUCGUCGCCCCUCCUUCCUUGCCUAGUCGGCGGGAGGGAGAAGAGGGGAGGAGCGACCGCGCGAAGAAGCAGGCUCUGCUGUUGCUGCUCUUAUCUGAAGGCAAUGGCCGUAAGCACUUGCUCAAUUGAUUGAUUUGCUGACCAAUUCGCUGCCAUUUCGAGGAGGAGGGCGCUGCUCUUCUGGGCAUGGGGGAUUUCUUGGAAUCAUCUUCGAUCUGGAGUUCUUUUCUUCUCCCUCCCCCAAUGGUUAAUCGAGUUGUCAAAUCUUGCUUGCAGCUGGGGAGACGGAUUGCGUCUACAUGGAAGAGAUUUCUUGUUUGCCUCCUUGCAAGAGACAGCAGAACAGAACGUAUAUGCUUUCAAAGAACAGUGGCAAGAGAUUUCAGAAAACAGGAGAGAAGAUAAGAACUGAACAGAUUUCACAAUUCGGAGUUCAGAACCGAACGUUUUUACAACUCCUAUCUUUCUCGGCGGAGCCAGAAAUCAUGGAGUCAGGAGUGGAGUCAAGAAUUUGGAGGAGUGGAGGGCUACCGAACGGGUUCUUAAGCUUCCCUUCUCACUGCAACAUGCAUGGUGGCUAUGUACUUCUCGAUGACUCCUUAAAAGUUAAAACUGAUUAACACAGCCAGUAUAAUACAAAAAUGGAAUGUUGCUUCUUCACACUCAUAUUCGACACCUAUCCGGAAAAGAGGAGAAGAUCCAUGUACAAACGAAAGGCCGUCGAUAUAUCUAAAAUAUUUAUUUAGGGAAUAGAAUUAAACUCUCAAGAAAUAGAAAUUGUUGAUUAUUUUUUCAGGUCAGUUUGAUACAGGAAAGCAUCCAGAAAUAUCAAAGAAUGGUGACGAGUUUCCUCUAAACACUAUCGUAGUGAUAGAUCGGGGGUGAGUCUAGUUACGUACAAAAUUCAUAUGGAAAUUAUUUAUUGUUAAUUUGUGUAGGAAUCGAAUGGUUGUAUUUUUUUUCUCCAAGUGCCUGCCCCGGUUUAUUAAUUACCUGUUUAAUAGCUGACACCGAAGUUCAGGUGUUCAAGAAAA